Molecule: long non-coding RNA, 1715 nt
Organism: Vespula pensylvanica (western yellowjacket)
Lineage: Eukaryota; Metazoa; Arthropoda; Insecta; Hymenoptera; Vespidae
Exons: 3
Source: RefSeq, a predicted model, not a curated record
UAUAUAUGUGUAUAUAUAUAUAUGUUUCUUGUUAUUUUUAUAUACAUAUGUGUAUAUAUACGAUAGAGGUAUCCGAUCGAUUUGACGUGAAUUCGUAAGAGUUCAUGAAGAAAUAUUAUCUCAAAGAAGAAAGAGAAGAAGGGAAAAGAAAAAUAAGUAAAUAAUAAUCCAGAAGAGAACGACUUGUUUCGACAUCGUUGGUCACGUGAUAACGUCUUUUCCGAUAGAAGAAAAAAGGCGGGAUAAUCCUAUAACGAUAGAGAACGCCUUCGGCCGAGUCGAUGCAUCGAUUCGAAUCGGAAAUAAACUAUGUCGAUAAAGGGGAUAACGUUUUUCGAUAUCGAAGAAAAUCUUUCGUCGAAUAUUCGUCGAAAGGAAAGAAAGAAGAAAGGAAGGAAGGAAGGAAGGAAGGAAAGAAGAAAAUGUUUCAACAAUUUCUUUCAUAAGAAUGAAAGAAAGUAUGAUAGAAUGAUAGAAUGGUAGAAAGAAAGGAAGAAAGGAUAGAAAAAUAGAAAAAGAAAGAAGGAAAAUAAAAGAGACGUUCACGGAAAUUCGUCGAUCGGAACGAAGAGUUCAUUGGCGAGUUGCCUUCGGCAAAGGACUGAACGAGAAAGCGAGAGGGAGAGAGAGUGAGAAAGAGAGAGAGAAAGAAAGAAAGAAAGAGAGAAAGCGAGAAAGAGCGAGAAAGAGCGCGUGUGAGAGAAAGAGAGGGAAGGAGAUGCGCGCGCAAGCUGUGUCGCUAGACGGACGGAGUGAGGAACGAACGGUAGUUUCGUAUCCUCGUCGACAGGCGGCGUGCGGGUCAGUGUCGCAGUGUCCCCCGUCCUGCCCGGCAGGUUACACACCGUCGGCACUCCGUCCACGUCGUCUCCGAGGGAAGAUUCGCAUAUGUAAACGAAAAGUCUCAGGAGACAUCGAUUCUCGUCUGUUAGAUUCAAUGAAAAGUGAAGAGAAUAAGACGGGGGAUAUUACUAUCACGUGGGGAUUUACACAUCGACACAGUGUUGGAAACAUUGUUUUGAAAGACCAUUUAGAUAUAAACGAAAAGAGGGACAGUAAUAUAGGUCGUUGAAAUAUUAUCGUGACGACGAUGCGUCAUCGUCGAGAUCUUUGCGAAAUCUUUUUUGGAGAGAAAAAAAAAAAGAGAACGAGAAUGAUGGAGGAUAAGAAAGAACAUCAACGAUUAAAUAAAACGAGAGAUUCGUCGGAAUAGCGUUGGUUACAUAAAAGAGGGCGAGUUGUUAAAGGUGAAAGAAAAAGAAGAAGAAUAAGAAGAAAAAGAAGAAGAAGAAGAAGACGAAGAAGAAGAAGAAGAAGACGAAGAGAAUCGAUUCGAUCAAUCGAUUCUACUACGAAUAAUUUACUGCCUGACAAUGAGAAAGCAACGAAUUUAUACAUUUCUUUCCUUUUAAUUAUUGCCUGAUACAAUAUUAAGAAGAUAAAAACUUACGAGUAAAUAAAAUAAAAAAAGAAAGAUAAUUAAAAAAAAGAAAAAAGAGAAACAACGAGAGGGAGGUCAUCGAAGAUAGAGAGAUAAAAACAAAUAAAAAGAUAAAAAAAAAAAAAAGGAAAGUUGUCAAGCUAGAAAAGUGCGUAAAUGCCCUAAAUGAGCGAUGACGACGAAAGGGUGAUAAUAGGAGGCGAGGUGUCUUUGCGUAAGUCACGUUGGGAGGAAGAAGUGAAAAAAAAGGUAGAAGAGGAAAGCGAGGAGGAGG